GCGGGAAUAGCUCAGUUGGUAGAGCCCCGGAUUGUGAUUCCGGUUGUCGCGGGUUCGAACCCCGUUUCUCGCC
RNAcentral lists this transfer RNA (73 nucleotides) under uncultured Candidatus Thioglobus sp. RNAcentral describes it as "uncultured SUP05 cluster bacterium tRNA-His-GTG". It matches the Rfam family "tRNA". From Rfam's summary of the family: Transfer RNA (tRNA) molecules are approximately 80 nucleotides in length. Their secondary structure includes four short double-helical elements and three loops (D, anti-codon, and T loops). The record is from RNAcentral. Lineage: Bacteria; Pseudomonadati; Pseudomonadota; Gammaproteobacteria; Pseudothioglobaceae (SeqCode).